This 364-nucleotide ribosomal RNA is filed under the name Escherichia coli. RNAcentral describes it as "bacterial LSU rRNA". It matches the Rfam family "Bacterial large subunit ribosomal RNA", at positions 1279 to 1645 of the family's 2925-position model. The record is from RNAcentral. Lineage: Bacteria; Pseudomonadati; Pseudomonadota; Gammaproteobacteria; Enterobacterales; Enterobacteriaceae.
GUAUCAGAAGUGCGAAUGCUGACAUAAGUAACGAUAAAGCGGGUGAAAAGCCCGCUCGCCGGAAGACCAAGGGUUCCUGUCCAACGUUAAUCGGGGCAGGGGGAGUCGACCCCUAAGGCGAGGCCGAAAGGCGUAGUCGAUGGGAAACAGGUUAAUAUUCCUGUACUUGGUGUUACUGCGAAGGGGGGACGGAGAAGGCUAUGUUGGCCGGGCGACGGUUGUCCCGGUUUAAGCGUGUAGGCUGGUUUUCCAGGCAAAUCCGGAAAAUCAAGGCUGAGGCGUGAUGACGAGGCACUACGGUGCUGAAGCAACAAAUGCCCUGCUUCCAGGAAAAGCCUCUAAGCAUCAGGUAACAUCAAAUCGU